UAGUAACGGCGAGUGAAGCGGCAGCAGCUCAAAUUUGAAAUCUGGCUCUUUCAGAGUCCGAGUUGUAAUUUGCAGAGGGCGCUUUGGCUUUGGCAGCGGUCCAASUUCCUUGGAACAGGACGUCACAGAGGGUGAGAAUCCCGUACGUGGUCGCUAGCUAUUGCCGUGUAAAGCCCCUUCGACGAGUCGAGUUGUUUGGGAAUGCAGCUCUAAAUGGGAGGUAAAUUUCUUCUAAAGCUAAAUAUUGGCCAGAGACCGAUAGCGCACAAGUAGAGUGAUCGAAAGAUGAAAAGCWCUUUGGAAAGAGAGUCAAACAGCACGUGAAAUUGUUGAAAGGGAAGCGCUUGCAGCCAGACUUGCUUGCAGUUGCUCAUCCGGGCUUUUGCCCGGUGCACUCUUCUGCAGGCAGGCCAGCAUCAGUUUGGGCGGUGGGAUAAAGGUCUCUGUCACGUACCUCUCUUCGGGGAGGCCUUAUAGGGGAGACGACAUACCACCAGCCUAGACUGAGGUCCGCGCAUCUGCUAGGAUGCUGGCGUAAUGGCUGUAAGCGGCCCGUCUUGAAACACGGACCAAGGAGUCUAACAUCUAUGCGAGUGUUUGGGUGUCAAGCCCGAGCGCGUAAUGAAAGUGAACGGAGGUGGGAACCCGCAAGGGUGCACCAUCGACCGAUCCUGAAGUUUACGGAAGGAUUUGAGUAAGAGCAUGGCUGUUGGGACCCGAAAGAUGGUGAACUAUGCUUGAAUAGGGUGAAGCCAGAGGAAACUCUGGUGGAGGCUCGCAGCGGUUCUGACGUGCAAAUCGAUCGUCAA
This 809-nucleotide ribosomal RNA is filed under the name Bipolaris sp. RNAcentral describes it as "partial large subunit ribosomal RNA". The record is from RNAcentral. Lineage: Eukaryota; Fungi; Ascomycota; Dothideomycetes; Pleosporales; Pleosporaceae.